GCACUGGUAGCACAAUGGUCAAGCACUCAGCUACUAACUGAAAGGUUGGUGGUUCGAACCCACCCAGCAGCU
RNAcentral lists this transfer RNA (72 nucleotides) under Loxodonta africana (African savanna elephant). It matches the Rfam family "tRNA". Rfam says of the family: Transfer RNA (tRNA) molecules are approximately 80 nucleotides in length. Their secondary structure includes four short double-helical elements and three loops (D, anti-codon, and T loops). Lineage: Eukaryota; Metazoa; Chordata; Mammalia; Proboscidea; Elephantidae. The record is from Rfam by way of RNAcentral.